Acanthosepion pharaonis is the source of this 109-nucleotide non-coding RNA. Lineage: Eukaryota; Metazoa; Mollusca; Cephalopoda; Sepiida; Sepiidae. The record is from the annotation of a GenBank genome assembly.
UUACAGCCAUAUCAUGUUGAAACACUGGUUCGCAUACAAUCACUUAAGCAAUGUUGAGCCUGAUCAGUACUUAGAUGGGUGACUGCUUGGGAAUACCGGGUGCUGUAAG